GUAUGGCAAGUUUUGCAGCCUUACCAAACUUAGUGGGGUUCUUAAUAUGUGAAGCUAUCUUCUGCAUGGCCUCCAAAACUUGGGUCUCUGAAGCAUCUGUCAUGGUUUUGAACCUUAAACGUUUUCCCGGUGCCGGUGCCGGUGCUGCAGCUGCUGGGUUCGAUUCUUGCGCAGUCUUGGGGCGCUUGAGGGCGCUCUUGAUGACCGGCGCCGGAGAAGAAGAAGAAGAAGAA
RNAcentral lists this unclassified non-coding RNA (233 nucleotides) under Hevea brasiliensis (rubber tree). Lineage: Eukaryota; Viridiplantae; Streptophyta; Magnoliopsida; Malpighiales; Euphorbiaceae. The record is from RNAcentral.